RNAcentral lists this ribosomal RNA (732 nucleotides) under Leucauge venusta (orchard orbweaver). RNAcentral describes it as "eukaryotic LSU rRNA". It matches the Rfam family "Eukaryotic large subunit ribosomal RNA", at positions 112 to 606 of the family's 3401-position model. Lineage: Eukaryota; Metazoa; Arthropoda; Arachnida; Araneae; Tetragnathidae. The record is from RNAcentral.
GCGCCGAAUCCCGCGCUCUUUGGGCGUCGGGAAAUGUGGGGUUUGGGAGUGAGCGUACCGGAGGUCGGCUCUGCAGCAAGUCCCCCUGACCGGGGCUCUUUCCCAGAGUGGGUGCGAGGCCCAUAGCUGCUAGGCCUCUUCCGGAUGCGAUCUCCUUGGAGUCGGGUUGCUUGGGAGUGCAGCCCUAAUCGGGUGGUAAACUCCACCUAAGACUAAAUACUGCCGUGAGACCGAUAGCAAACAAGUACCGUGAGGGAAAGUUGCAAAGAACUUUGAAGAGAGAGUUCAAGAGUACGUGAAACUGCUCAGAGGAAAACGGGUGGGCCCUCGAAAUCCUGUGGCGGGAGGAUUCAGUCGAGAGGUCCGGAGGCCAUGCCGAGGCGUUAUCAGAAUGGAACCCGCGACCGGGCCUCCUUGGCAAGGCUCUUUCGGAUCGACCGACGCAUUUCUUUCCCGCUCGAAGGACGCCGCAACGGGUUGGCGGGACGGCCUUAAGGACGGGAGCCGGCAGGUGGCCGGUGGUUCUCCUCGUGGGGACCGCCGGUUGUUAGCCAUUCCGUCGCACGGCCGCACCCCGACCCUGGUGUCGCGAGGCCCCUAUGGGCCUUCACGCCUCCUCCGUAGGUAGCGAGCAGACGUGGCAGGUGAGGCUCGACCUUCGCGGACGCAUGGACUCGCUCCAUGGCCCUGCGGUGCCGAGUCCCCGUUGGCUGCGCGUGGCUCGUCGGAGAC